GACGAACGCUGGCGGCGUGCUUAACACAUGCAAGUCGAGCGGUAAGGCCCUUUCGGGGGUACACGAGCGGCGAACGGGUGAGUAACACGUGGGUGACCUGCCCUCAGCUCUGGGAUAAGCCUGGGAAACCGGGUCUAAUACUGGAUAUGACUCCAUGACGCAUGUUGUGGGGUGGAAAGCCUUGUGCGGCUGAGGAUGGGCCCGCGGCCUAUCAGCUUGUUGGUGGGGNGAUGGCCUACCAAGGCGACGACGGGUAGCCGGCCUGAGAGGGCGACCGGCCACACUGGGACUGAGACACGGCCCAGACUCCUACGGGAGGGCAGCAGUGGGGAAUCUUGCGCAAUGGGCGAAAGCCUGACGCAGCGACGCCGCGUGAGGGAUGACGGCCU
RNAcentral lists this ribosomal RNA (389 nucleotides) under uncultured bacterium. RNAcentral's name for it is "bacterial SSU rRNA". It matches the Rfam family "Bacterial small subunit ribosomal RNA", at positions 28 to 417 of the family's 1533-position model. The record is from RNAcentral.